RNAcentral lists this ribosomal RNA (254 nucleotides) under uncultured bacterium. RNAcentral's name for it is "partial 16S ribosomal RNA". It matches the Rfam family "Bacterial small subunit ribosomal RNA", at positions 524 to 776 of the family's 1533-position model. The record is from RNAcentral.
UACGUAGGGGGCAAGCGUUGUCCGGAUUUAUUGGGCGUAAAGAGCGUGUAGGCGGCCAAGCAGGUCAGCUGUGAAAACUCGAGGCUCAACCUCGAGACGUCGGUUGAAACCGCUUGGCUAGAGUCCGGAAGAGGAGAGUGGAAUUCCCGGUGUAGCGGUGAAAUGCGCAGAUAUCGGGAAGAACACCCGUGGCGAAGGCGGCUCUCUGGGACGGUACUGACGCUGAGACGCGAAAGCGUGGGGGAGCGAACAGG